CCUACGGGAGGCUGCAGUGAGGAAUAUUGGUCAAUGGACGAGAGUCUGAACCAGCCAAGUAGCGUGAAGGAUGACUGCCCUAUGGGUUGUAAACUUCUUUUAUAUGGGAAUAAAAUGUUCCACGUGUGGGAUUUUGUAUGUACCAUAUGAAUAAGGAUCGGCUAACUCCGUGCCAGCAGCCGCGGUAAUACGGAGGAUCCGAGCGUUAUCCGGAUUUAUUGGGUUUAAAGGGAGCGUAGGUGGAUUGUUAAGUCAGUUGUGAAAGUUUGCGGCUCAACCGUAAAAUUGCAGUUGAUACUGGCAGUCGUGAGUACAGUAGAGGUGGGCGGAAGUCGUGGUGUAGCGGUGAAAUGCUUAGAUAUCACGAAGAACUCCGAUUGCGAAGGCAGCUCACUGGACUGCAACUGACACUGAGGCUCGAAAGUGUGGGUAUCAAACAGGAUUAGAUACCCCUGUAGUC
RNAcentral lists this ribosomal RNA (460 nucleotides) under uncultured bacterium. Its description in RNAcentral is "partial 16S ribosomal RNA". It matches the Rfam family "Bacterial small subunit ribosomal RNA", at positions 338 to 795 of the family's 1533-position model. The record is from RNAcentral.